AUAACUCCGGGAAACCGGAGCUAAUACCGGAUAGUUCCUUGAACCGCAUGGUUCAAGGAUGAAAGACGGUUUCGGCUGUCACUUACAGAUGGACCCGCGGCGCAUUAGCUAGUUGGUGAGGUAACGGCUCACCAAGGCGACGAUGCGUAGCCGACCUGAGAGGGUGAUCGGCCACACUGGGACUGAGACACGGCCCAGACUCCUACGGGAGGCAGCAGUAGGGAAUCUUCCGCAAUGGACGAAAGUCUGACGGAGCAACGCCGCGUGAGUGAUGAAGGUUUUCGGAUCGUAAAGCUCUGUUGUUAGGGAAGAACAAGUGCAAGAGUAACUGCUUGCACCUUGACGGUACCUAACCAGAAAGCCACGGCUAACUACGUGCCAGCAGCCGCGGUAAUACGUAGGUGGCAAGCGUUGUCCGGAAUUAUUGGGCGUAAAGGGCUCGCAGGCGGUUUCUUAAGUCUGAUGUGAAAGCCCCCGGCUCAACCGGGGAGGGUCAUUGGAAACUGGGAAACUUGAGUGCAGAAGAGGAGAGUGGAAUUCCACGUGUAGCGGUGAAAUGCGUAGAGAUGUGGAGGAACACCAGUGGCGAAGGCGACUCUCUGGUCUGUAACUGACGCUGAGGAGCGAAAGCGUGGGGAGCGAACAGGAUUAGAUACCCUGGUAGUCCACGCCGUAACGAUGAGUGCUAAGUGUUAGGGGGUUUCCGCCCCUUAGUGCUGCAGCUAACGCAUUAAGCACUCCGCCUG
RNAcentral lists this ribosomal RNA (746 nucleotides) under Bacillus altitudinis. Its description in RNAcentral is "bacterial SSU rRNA". It matches the Rfam family "Bacterial small subunit ribosomal RNA", at positions 143 to 875 of the family's 1533-position model. The record is from RNAcentral. Lineage: Bacteria; Bacillati; Bacillota; Bacilli; Caryophanales; Bacillaceae.